This is a long non-coding RNA of Ostrinia nubilalis (European corn borer), 1194 nucleotides long. RefSeq lists it as uncharacterized. The transcript is spliced from 7 exons. The record is from RefSeq and is a predicted model, not a curated record. NCBI's taxonomy places the organism in Eukaryota, Metazoa, Arthropoda, Insecta, Lepidoptera, Crambidae.
UUUGCUUGCACUUUUGCAGCAUACUCUCUUCUAAUCUGUGUUUUGCAGUGCACAAAAUCAGUGGUAGAACGUAGAACCUACAAGUUUUUUUGUUUUGCACGGUGUUUUAUUUAAUAAACGCUUCUGUUGUGCGAAUUGGACGCGUGACGUGCUGAAGAUUAAAGACUUUGCAUAAUGGAAUCAAAAAAAUUUUUUUUGGUUACAUUUUUAGAUGAAGAUGAUGCUCCUGGCAUAGUUUCAUCAAAGUGGUUAAGAUACCAACACUUGUUAUUACCCUAAUGUAUGCACUGAAGAAAUCAAAAACAAACUUGAAGAAGAUGCCUGCACCUGAAGCAACAUGGUCACAAUAUCAAAUAAAAAUACUUAAAAGUUAUGAAACUUAUGGCGAAGCACGAUUACAUUUAAAAAAAGCGGAAGAAACCUGAAAUUUGGACUCAGACGAAGCAGAAAAUGAUGUUACAAAUGAAGUGACAGUGGACAUAAUGUCUGCUGUAAAUUACCCAGUCACCUCCGGUUCUAAAGAGGCCAAGCAAACACAACUCAAAGCUGUUAACUGCCAAUCAGAGUGCAUUACAAACAAGCAAUAUGCUAUACAGCAGAGUCAUAUGAUUCAGAUUGUGUCAGACCUAGCUAACCAAAUGGCUGAAAUCAAUAGAAAAUUGGAUUUACCGUUAGCUAGGUCCGAAGAAACAUUUUCACCAACAGAUGACAAUGCAGGUCUUUCAGAACUUUUGGCAAGUCUACCAGUAAAGAUAUUGCAAGUUUUAAUAAUUUCGAUGACCAUUUAAAAAUAAACAAGAAUACAGGCAAUAAUGUCAUUUUUGUCUGGUAUUGGCGGCAGAAAUGUAAGAAGCCUUACGACUAAUAUGUUGAGACAAAUAAUUCUAGAUGAUGUAUAGCCGAGUUGUAUUCGUUAACUGGGAAACAGAUGAAAAAUUCGAAUAAAAAGUCAUUUAUGAGUACAGAAACCUAUAAAUUAAUCUUUCAAAUAUGUAGAAAAAUCAACGAAGAUGUAACUGAAGACAGUCUAAAAGAAAUUAUAAGUGAUUGGCUAAAUCAAGCUAAAGUUAGACUUUCAAGAAGAGCAGAAACACAAAAUAAAGAAAAAAACCAAUAGCGGCGACCAUGAAACCGAUUUUUUCUCAUUUAAAGUAAGAUAAGAUAAAAGUAUAAAUAAUAAAAAAAUAUAUGUUA